RNAcentral lists this small nucleolar RNA (72 nucleotides) under Carlito syrichta (Philippine tarsier). Its description in RNAcentral is "Small nucleolar RNA SNORD56 (ENSTSYG00000019869.2)". It matches the Rfam family "Small nucleolar RNA SNORD56". From Rfam's summary of the family: U56 belongs to the C/D class of snoRNA which contain the C (UGAUGA) and D (CUGA) box motifs. Most of the members of the box C/D family function in directing site-specific 2'-O-methylation of substrate RNAs. The record is from Rfam by way of RNAcentral. Lineage: Eukaryota; Metazoa; Chordata; Mammalia; Primates; Tarsiidae.
CUAUAAUAAUGGCAAUAUUUUCCAUCAACAACAAUUUACCUAAUGAGUGUUUGGUGCUUUGGGUCUGGGUGA